AUGGCGCUGUUGCAUCCAUCUGCAUUGCUUCCUACUAGAAAGCAGCCUUCUACUCACCUUCUCAUGCCUUAUGUAAGAGCACUUGUUUUUUGUAUUUCUUGCUGUAAAGCUGUAAUUCCAACUUUUUCUUUUCUUUGCAUAGUUAGAUUCACAGAUAUUACAGACUGUUUAAUCACACAUUUCAUUUCCCUACAAAUGAAAGCUUCCAAAUGCUAAUACUUCAUAAAAGCACUAGCAACUACCUUUAAAAGUUAGCCCUUCAUUUUUAUGCUUAUUUUUAUUUUUCCAAUCUAUAUGAUAUGAUAAAAUAUUUGGAAUAGCUACAAGGUGCACACCGAACCAAAAAACAGCUACUAUUUUAACUGAGCCUGAGAAAUAGACUUCGGAGGUGUCAGAAUCUCAAAAAGUCACCUGUCAAUCAGUUCACCUCUGCGUGUAUCUCCUUGAUCCAAGCAGAUACAGCUCCCCCAGUACUACACUUCCCAAAGAUUUCUCCCCCACCUGUCAUUACUGACAAGCCAUUGUUCUGAAUUCAGCAACCAAUGCAGCAAUUCCCAUACACAUAAAGUCUGACAGUCAUUAAUAUACAUGAGUUCUACAAUUUAUCCUCCAGUUGACCUAAAUACAUAUCCACCUGUUACAUAUUGAGAAUGUGACAGUCUCAUUCCCUAGGACAGUUUUGAGGAAUUAAGCAAGUUCAGUCACUCACAACUGCAAAUUAUUUUCAUAACUGUACAAUGGAGACAGUCACAGGAGACAUCAGUUGUCACACUCCUACUCUACUGUGGGGAUUUAAAGAAUGAGGAAUUACUGGAAGGGGUAUCGUAACACAGUAUCAGCAAGAAACUAGAGGCUGAAACUGUAAUUGGAGCUUAAGUCUUAUUCAUUUUCUAGAGUAAGGAUUCAUCUUCCUACGGUAUUGGGUCCUAUUUUCCCCCAAAACCACCUUACAGUCUAACUGCACUCUCAUCACUGCCUACCUUUCAUCUUCUACCCUUACAACACUGUGCAAAAAAACCAAUGAAAUAAGAAAGCAAAAUCAUACAGUUAUGGAACUAAUAUCAUUGGGUAUUUUUAGUAUUCCAGGACCACAUUUUUAACCUGGGUAGCUUAAGUAGCAGCUGAAUGUCCUAAUCUUUGUAAAAAGCUAUUAAGUAGCAUGGCACCUGGAAAAUCUGCAAUGCAAGAUGUAAACCCUUAUCUACCAACAAUGGGGCUGACUGACAUAAUUGGCAUCUGACUUUAUAGUAGUUGGAUGAAGCAAAAAUGAACAUGCAGCUCCUCCAGCUCUAGUCACCUUCACAACAUCACCCAGAUUACAAGAAAAUAUGAAAUUUUUUUUUCUUCUACCUCUGUAACAAUUUGUGGACAUCAUCAACAACAACAACAAAAAAACCUACUCAGAAGUAUGAAAUUCAGUAUUCUCACUUAACAGAUAGAAAAACAGAGACAAAGGCAAAAUCACUUUUUCAAGAUUAUCCAGCAAGUAAACAGCAGAGUAUAAUCACAAUUCUAAGCCUUCUGGUUUAUAAUCCUAUAACCCUCUUUCCAAAAGUCUGUAUGUGGUACCAACUAAGCUGUAUAAAUGAUGGCCAUAAACACUGCAUUCUUUUGAACCCCCCACCCCAGGUAUCACAAACCAACCAUUCAGAUGAUGACACAUGAAUAAUCUAUAGUGCUAUCAAACAAUUGAUAUUGCUUCAAAUUUUAAGUUUCUGACUAGCAGUAAAUUCAAUGACUUUAAUUGAAAAAAUACUUUCUCCUAAUUAUGAAUUGUUGAGAUAGGCUGCUGAGUCUGUAUUCUACAAUAACCUGAGCUAAAGCUUUGAGUUAAAAGAGAAAACAUAAGCAUAGUGUUUUGUGCCCCUCUCUCCAGUACAGUAAUUGUAUCUGUAAAUUUCAUUCCCCGUUGCAAAGAGGAAUUACAAUUGGAUUUAACAGUUACCAAGCUGAUACGAGUAAAUCCACCCUUGAAUUCCACACGGAACUACACUGUGAUUCAAACUCAUGAUCAAUUGCUGUUCCGCUGUUCCUAGCCCUGACAAUUCAAACUUGCAGAUCUCCCUCUUCAACAUUUGAUAUUGCUCAGUCUGAAACCCAGCACAAUUUGUUGUAUAAUAAAUAUACAGAUGUUAUAAUUAAGAAAUAUACA
This 2152-nucleotide long non-coding RNA is filed under the name Chrysolophus pictus (golden pheasant). RNAcentral describes it as "lncRNA (ENSCPIG00010010002.1)". The record is from RNAcentral. Lineage: Eukaryota; Metazoa; Chordata; Aves; Galliformes; Phasianidae.